Molecule: ribosomal RNA, 865 nt
Filed under: uncultured Bacteroidota bacterium
Lineage: Bacteria; Pseudomonadati; Bacteroidota
Description: bacterial SSU rRNA
Rfam family: Bacterial small subunit ribosomal RNA
Source: RNAcentral
AGUCGAGGGGUAUAGGUUUUCGGACCUAGAGACCGGCGCACGGGUGCGUAACGCGUAUGCAAUCUACCUUUCACAGAGGGAUAGCCCAGAGAAAUUUGGAUUAAUACCUCAUAGUAUAACGACUCGGCAUCGAGAUGUUAUUAAAGUCACAACGGUGAAAGAUGAGCAUGCGUCCCAUUAGCUAGUUGGUAUGGUAACGGCAUACCAAGGCGACGAUGGGUAGGGGUCCUGAGAGGGAGAUCCCCCACACUGGUACUGAGACACGGACCAGACUCCUACGGGAGGCAGCAGUGAGGAAUAUUGGACAAUGGGCGCAAGCCUGAUCCAGCCAUGCCGCGUGCAGGAUGACGGUCCUAUGGAUUGUAAACUGCUUUUGCACAGGAAGAAACAACUCUACGUGUAGAGUCUUGACGGUACUGUGAGAAUAAGGAUCGGCUAACUCCGUGCCAGCAGCCGCGGUAAUACGGAGGAUCCAAGCGUUAUCCGGAAUCAUUGGGUUUAAAGGGUCCGUAGGCGGUCUUAUAAGUCAGUGGUGAAAUCUCCCCGCUCAACGGGGAAACGGCCAUUGAUACUGUAGGACUUGAAUUAUUAGGAAGUAACUAGAAUAUGUAGUGUAGCGGUGAAAUGCUUAGAGAUUACAUGGAAUACCAAUUGCGAAGGCAGGUUACUACUAAUGGAUUGACGCUGAUGGACGAAAGCGUGGGUAGCGAACAGGAUUAGAUACCCUGGUAGUCCACGCCGUAAACGAUGGAUACUAGUUGUUGGAAAGCAUUUCAGUGGCUAAGCGAAAGUGAUAAGUAUCCCACCUGGGGAGUACGUUUCGCAGAAAUGAACUCAAAGGAAUUGACGGGGGCCCGCACAAGCG